AUGAACGCUGGCGGCGUGCUUUACACAUGCAAGUCGAACGCUGAAGCCCCUUCGGGGGCCGAUGAGUGGCGAACGGGUGAGUAACACGUGGGUAACCUACCUCGCACAUCGGGAUAAGCCCGGGAAACUGGGUCUAAAUACCGAAUAUGACUUAUCACCACAUGGUGGUAAGUGGAAAGUUCCGGCGGUGCGAGAUGGACCCGCGGCCUAUCAGCUUGUUGGUGGGGUAAUGGCCCACCAAGGCGACAACGGGUAGCCGGCCUGAGAGGGUGUCCGGCCACACUGGGACUGA
Molecule: ribosomal RNA, 292 nt
Filed under: uncultured bacterium
Lineage: Bacteria
Description: partial 16S ribosomal RNA
Rfam family: Bacterial small subunit ribosomal RNA
Source: RNAcentral